Long non-coding RNA from Gorilla gorilla gorilla (western lowland gorilla), 631 nucleotides. RefSeq lists it as uncharacterized. The transcript has 5 exons. Lineage: Eukaryota; Metazoa; Chordata; Mammalia; Primates; Hominidae. The record is from RefSeq and is a predicted model, not a curated record.
UGGAGUUUGGGGACAACACCAAGGUACUGCCAUACUUGAGGAGGAGAUGGCAUUUCUCAGCUUCUGAUAGUUACUUUUGGGGAUCGAUGAAUCGCUUGAGAAUCUCCGAUUGGGCAAAAGGCCUAAGUGUCUAUAAGAAGCUGAGGAGCUGGAGUGGGAGCAGAAACGUCUGGCAGGGGGAAUGGAGGUGAGGAAGAGGCAGAGGACUGAAGGAGGAUAUAGCAAAUGAUGCCAAAAGCCAAAUGGAAGAUCAAAGGUGGUAAAAAGAAAAGGUGGAAAAGCAGAGCUGGAAGAAGUGGGAUUAAUCCAUAUCGUAAAGAAGAAAAUAUAGAUAUUUGGACCGAAGAGGUUAAAAAAGUCAAUGGAUGACACCAUUCUCUGAAGAGUCUCUCCCUAGAGGAGGAGCACACUUCUCACCACAGUGACUUCGGGAUUGGACAUGUGACUUGCUUUAGAAAAGGAAAUAUGCACAGGAGUGAUAUAAGCCACAUCUGGCUUGGCACGUCUCCUUGCGGCCACCAUAUAAAGAAGGAUGUGUUUGCUUCCCCUUCCAACAUGAUUGUAAGUUUCCUGAGGCCUCCCCAGCCAUGCUGAACUGUGAGUCAAUUAAACCUCUUUCCUUUAUAAGUUA